AGUCUCGUUCCCUUUGGGUGUGCGGUGUCAAAGCCGUGCACUCUUAACGGUCGGACAAGUCCGUCGGAGUGUGGUUAUUGUUGGAAGGGCAACCGACCAAUGAGGCCACCGUAAUCGUUCGGGGUGCCUUUAAUCGGGUGUCUCGGGCGGCCGACAUAGUUUACUUUGAACAAAUUAGAGUGCUCAAAGCAGGUGACUACCGCCUGAAUAGUACAGCAUGGAAUGAUGAAAGAGGACCUCGGUCUGAUUUUGCUGGUCUUUAACGGUCGGGCUUCGGCCCGGCCUAUGCAGACCCGAGGUAAUGGUCAAUAGAGACGGACGGGGGCAUCCGUACUGCGGCGACAGAGGUGAAAUUCUUGGGCCGCCGCAAGACGAACGACAGCGAAGGCAUUUGCCAAGAAUGUUUUCCUUGAUCAAGAACGAAAGUUAGAGGUUCGAAGGCGAUCAGAUACCGCCCUAGUUCUAACCAUAAACGAUGCCAACUAGCGAUCCGCCGGUGUUACUCCCAUGACUCGGCGGGCAGCUUCCGGGAAACCAAAGUCUUUGGGUUCCGGGGGAAGUAUGGUUGCAAAGCUGAAACUUAAAGGAAUUGACGGAAGGGCACCACCAGGAGUGGAGCCUGCGGCUUAAUUUGACCCAACACGGGAAACCUCACCAGGCCCGGACACUGGAAGGAUUGACAGAUUGAGAGCUCUUUCUUGAUUCGGUGGGUGGUGGUGCAUGGCCGUUCUUAGUUGGUGGAGCGAUUUGUCUGGUUAAUUCCGAUAACGAACGAGACUCUAGCCUGCUAAAUAGGUGCCGGGUUUUUACAUCUCCUCGCAAGGGGAGAGUGGAGUGUGUGGUUGUCGGGAUCCUGGGCUGUGGUGGUCGUUUAGGCUGCGGGGGGCAACUCUCGUGGUCUGGGCGGCUGUCAUAGUUCACCCGGUGUACGCACACUUCGCGUCCGGCAUUUUUCUUCUUAGAGGGACAAGCGGCGUCCAGCCGCGUGACAGUGAGCAAUAACAGGUCUGUGAUGCCCUUAGAUGUCCUGGGCCGCACGCGCGCUACACUGAAGGAAUCAGCGUGUUAUUCAUCCCUGUCUGAAAGGACCGGGCAACCGCUGAACCUCCUUCGUGGUUGGGAUUGGGGACUGCAAUGAUCCCCAUGAACCAGGAAUCCCUAGUAGGCGCGGGUCACUAGCCCGCGUCGAUUACGUCCCUGCCCUUUGUACACACCGCCCGUCGCUACUACCGAUUGAAUGAUUUAGUGAGAACUUCAGACGGCUAUGUUUGUCCGGGGCAACCCGCGUCGAGCAGGGCUGAAAGAUGUUCAAACUUGAUCCUUUAGAGGUAGUAAAAGUCGUAACAAGGUU
RNAcentral lists this ribosomal RNA (1351 nucleotides) under metagenome. Its description in RNAcentral is "SSU rRNA". It matches the Rfam family "Eukaryotic small subunit ribosomal RNA", at positions 636 to 1801 of the family's 1831-position model. The record is from RNAcentral.